UACAUGCAGGAAAAACUCCAAUAUUGUUUA
RNAcentral lists this non-coding RNA (30 nucleotides) under Mus musculus (house mouse). Lineage: Eukaryota; Metazoa; Chordata; Mammalia; Rodentia; Muridae. The record is from RNAcentral.